GGCUCUAUGGGAAAAGUAGAUAUAGAGUCGGACCUGCCCAGUGAAUAUUUUUUAACGGCCGCGGUACUCUGACCGUGCAAAGGUAGCAUAAUCAUUUGCCCUAUAAUUGAGGGCUAGUAUGAAUGGUUUGACGUGAGCAAAGCUGUCUCUUUUAGAAUAUAUAGAAUUUAACUUACAGGUGAAGAUGCCUGUAUUAGAUUGAUAGACAAGAAGACCCUAUCGAGCUUGAAAAAAAUAUUUAGAGUAAAAUUGCCUUAUGUAAAGGACAUUUAACUAGAUAAUAUUUUGGUUGGGGCGACUGAGGAACAUAAAAAGCUUCCUUUAAUUAAAUAUAUGCUUGCACUAGCAAUGAUCCAAAUAUUAUUGAUUAAAGAAAUUAGUUACCGUAGGGAUAACAGCAUAAUCUUUUUUGAGAGCUCAUAUCGAAAAAAAGGUUUGUGACCUCGAUGUUGGACUAGAGUUUCCUGAAGAUGCAGAAGUCUUUAAGGGUUGGUCUGUUCGACCAUUAAAACUCU
Molecule: ribosomal RNA, 515 nt
Rfam family: Bacterial large subunit ribosomal RNA